GUGUAAGAGCCACUGCACCUACCAUCUGUAAAUCGCUACUAGAGAGUGAACGAUCAACGAUCAUUGUGGUCUUCUCUUUUAAUUCAUUAGCUAUGAAAACUGUAAAUAAGCAGGCAGAAGACAGUUAUUCUUAUUAAAGGCCUUUCAUUACUGGCAGGUUGUGGCGACAGGGUCCAUGGGACACUGACAAGAGCUGGGCUUCACAUAGUGUCAAAGCCUCUCUCAAGAUCUGCAUCAGAAGCUUUGUAAAUAACCACGAUACAAAGAGAAUUCUUUUCACUGAAGGGACAAGAGAGCAAGCCAACUAAUCCACGAGACCAUGUUUAUUAUCUACUGUAUUGAGGCUACCACAGUAAACAAGACUGAUAAUGGUCCUCAAGUAUCAGAGCUCUAACGCGGCAUUCAAGCCUCUCAAACUGCUGACCACAUCACCUGUCAACGGUUCUGCGAAUCUGAGAUGAAAUUUAUGACAAUAAGAGUUGAGGAAUCCUUUGUAGGUGAUGUAAGAUUGCCUUCAUAGAGGUGAGCUAUAUAACCAACAUUUAAUAAAUUUAAGACAGAUAUAAA
Mus musculus (house mouse) is the source of this 567-nucleotide long non-coding RNA. RefSeq annotates it as predicted gene, 53559. The record is from RefSeq and is a predicted model, not a curated record. The transcript has 3 exons. NCBI's taxonomy places the organism in Eukaryota, Metazoa, Chordata, Mammalia, Rodentia, Muridae.